CCUCCUUUCUAAGGAAAUCGAAAAUAAUAUUUUCGAUUUAAAAAAAACCGGUAAUGUGACCGUCCUCAUUUCUCUUCUUUUAAUGUCUCUGACUAAAAAUAAUGUAAGGGGCCGGUAGCUCAGGUGGUUAGAGCGCACCCCUGAUAAGGGUGAGGUCGGAAGUUCGAAUCUUCCUCGGCCCACCAAUAUUAUGGGGGAUUAGCUCAGCUGGGAGAGCGCCUGAUUUGCAUUCAGGAGGUCAGCGGUUCGAUCCCGCUAUCCUCCACCAAAAUUUGAGACAUUUAGCUUUUUUAAAUUGUGAAUAAUUUUAUUAUCAAUAUCUAUAUCCGAUUGUUUUCAUAUAUUUUUUUGAGAACAAUCAAAACAAAAAUUUGAAUUUUACACAGAAAGUUUUUUUCUGUGCAUAAAUCAAGCGUUUAAGGGCGAUUGGCGGAUGCCUUGGCACUGUAAGACAAUGAAGGACGUGGUAUACUGCGAUAAGUUUCGGGGAGUUGUAUGCAAGCUUUGAUCCGAAGAUUCCGAAUGGGGAAACCAAG
This 536-nucleotide unclassified non-coding RNA is filed under the name uncultured Pelagibacterales bacterium. RNAcentral's name for it is "partial 16S-23S ribosomal RNA intergenic spacer". The stretch from base 407 to 536 matches the Rfam family "Bacterial large subunit ribosomal RNA", at positions 1 to 131 of the family's 2925-position model. The record is from RNAcentral. Lineage: Bacteria; Pseudomonadati; Pseudomonadota; Alphaproteobacteria; Candidatus Pelagibacterales.